GAUGAACGCUGGCGGCGUGCCUAAUACAUGCAAGUCGAGCGAACGGACGAGAAGCUUGCUUCUCUGAUGUUAGCGGCGGACGGGUGAGUAACACGUGGAUAACCUACCUAUAAGACUGGGAUAACUUCGGGAGACCGGAGCUAAUACCGGAUAAUAUUUUGAACCGCAUGGUUCAAAAGUGAAAGACGGUCUUGCUGUCACUUAUAGAUGGAUCCGCGCUGCAUUAGCUAGUUGGUAAGGUAACGGCUUACCAAGGCAACGAUGCAUAGCCGACCUGAGAGGGUGAUCGGCCACACUGGAACUGAGACACGGUCCAGACUCUUACGGGAGGCAGCAGUAGGGAAUCUUCCGCAAUGGGCGAAAGCCUGACGGAGCAACGCCGCGUGAGUGAUGAAGGUCUUCGGAUCGUAAAACUCUGUUAUUAGGGAAGAACAUAUGUGUAAGUAACUGUGCACAUCUUGACGGUACCUAAUCAGAAAGCCACGGCUAACUACGUGCCAGCAGCCGCGGUAAUGCGUAGGUGGCAAGCGUUAUCCGGAAUUAUUGGGCGUAAAGCGCGCGUAGGCGGUUUUUUAAGUCUGAUGUGAAAGCCCACGGCUCAACCCGGGGAGGGUCAUUGGAAACUGGAAAACUUGAGUGCAGAAGAGGAAAGUGGAAUUCCAUGUGUAGCGGUGAAAUGCGCAGAGAUAUGGAGGAACACCAAUGGCGAAGGCGACUUUCUGGUCUGUAACUGACGCUGAUGUGCGAAAGCGUGGGGAUCAAACAGGAUUAGAUACCCUGGUAGUCCACGCCGUAAACGAUGAGUGCUAAGUGUUAGGGGGUUUCCGCCCCUUAGUGCUGCAGCUAACGCAUUAAGCACUCCGCCUGGGGAGUACGACCGCGAGGUUGAAACUCAAAGGAAUUGACGGGGACCCGCACAAGCGGUGGAGCAUGUGGUUUAAUUCGAAGCAACGCGAAGAACCUUACCAAAUCUUGACAUCCUUUGACAACUCUAGAGAUAGAGCUUUCCCCUUCGGGGGACAAAGUGACAGGUGGUGCAUGGUUGUCGUCAGCUCGUGUCGUGAGAUGUUGGGUUAAGUCCCGCAACGAGCGCAACCCUUAAGCUUAGUUGCCAUCAUUAAGUUGGGCACUCUAAGUUGACUGCCGGUGACAAACCGGAGGAAGGUGGGGAUGACGUCAAAUCAUCAUGCCCCUUAUGAUUUGGGCUACACACGUGCUACAAUGGACAAUACAAAGGGCAGCGAAACCGCGAGGUCAAGCAAAUCCCAUAAAGUUGUUCUCAGUUCGGAUUGUAGUCUGCAACUCGACUACAUGAAGCUGGAAUCGCUAGUAAUCGUAGAUCAGCAUGCUACGGUGAAUACGUUCCCGGGUCU
RNAcentral lists this ribosomal RNA (1373 nucleotides) under uncultured bacterium. RNAcentral describes it as "bacterial SSU rRNA". It matches the Rfam family "Bacterial small subunit ribosomal RNA", at positions 28 to 1381 of the family's 1533-position model. The record is from RNAcentral.